GAUACCUUAGCUCAAUUGGCAGAGCAGUUUGCGUUCCAUCCAUUUCCGUUCGACUCGGGACAAUCAAUGGUGAUAUGGGUAGUGGGCAAUAGGCGAAAGCGACGGUUAACCGAUACAGGUUCGAGUCCUGUAGGUAUUCCA
Molecule: transfer RNA, 141 nt
Filed under: Caudoviricetes sp.
Lineage: Duplodnaviria; Heunggongvirae; Uroviricota; Caudoviricetes
Description: tRNA-Gly
Rfam family: tRNA
About the family: Transfer RNA (tRNA) molecules are approximately 80 nucleotides in length. Their secondary structure includes four short double-helical elements and three loops (D, anti-codon, and T loops).
Source: RNAcentral